Molecule: ribosomal RNA, 800 nt
Filed under: uncultured bacterium
Lineage: Bacteria
Description: bacterial SSU rRNA
Rfam family: Bacterial small subunit ribosomal RNA
Source: RNAcentral
AGAGUUUGAUCCUGGCUCAGAAUCAACGCUGGCGGCGUGCCUCAGACAUGCAAGUCGAACGAUUAAAGCUCUCUUCGGAGAGUGCAUAGAGUGGCGCACGGGUGAGUAACACGUAAGUAAUCUACCUUCGAGUGGGGAAUAACGUCCGGAAACGGACGCUAAUACCGCAUAAUGCAGCGGCAUCGCAAGAUGACAGUUGUUAAAGAUUUAUCGCUUGAAGAGGAGCUUGCGGCAGAUUAGCUAGUUGGUAAGGUAAUGGCUUACCAAGGCUACGAUCUGUAACCGGUCUUAGAGGACGGUCGGUCACACUGACACUGAAUAACGGCCCAGACUCCUACGGGAGGCAGCAGUCGGGAAUUUUGGGCAAUGGGCGAAAGCCUGACCCAGCAACGCCGCGUGAAGGAUGAAGUAUUUCGGUAUGUAAACUUCGAAAGGAUAGGAAGAAUCAAUGACGGUACUAUUUAUAAGGUCCGGCUAACUACGUGCCAGCAGCCGCGGUAAUACGUAGGGACCAAGCGUUGUUCGGAUUUACUGGGCGUAAAGGGCGCGUAGGCGGCAUGACAAGUCACUUGUGAAAUCUCCGGGCUUAACUCGGAACGGCCAAGUGAUACUGUCACGCUAGAGUAUUGGAGGGGCAAUCGGAAUUCUUGGUGUAGCGGUGAAAUGCGUAGAUAUCAAGAGGAACACCUGAGGUGAAGACGGGUUGCUGGCCAAAUACUGACGCUGAGGCGCGAAAGCCAGGGGAGCAAACGGGAUUAGAUACCCCGGUAGUCCUGGCCCUAAACGAUGAAUACUUGGUG